Molecule: ribosomal RNA, 377 nt
Filed under: uncultured Deferribacteres bacterium
Lineage: Bacteria; Pseudomonadati; Deferribacterota; Deferribacteres
Description: bacterial SSU rRNA
Rfam family: Bacterial small subunit ribosomal RNA
Source: RNAcentral
UAAUACGAGGGGGGCUAGCGUUGUCCGGAUUUAUUGGGUGUAAAGGGCUCGUAGGCGGGCCGAUCAGUCGGGACUUAAAGACCACGGCUUAACCGUGGGAGUGGUCUCGAAACUGUCGGUCUUGAGUAUGGUAGAGGAAGGCGGAAUUCCUGGUGUAGCGGUGAAAUGCGUAGAUAUCAGGAAGAACACCGAUGGCGAAGGCAGCCUUCUGGGCCAAAACUGACGCUGAGGAGCGAAAGCGUGGGUAGCGAACAGGAUUAGAUACCCUGGUAGUCCACGCCGUAAACGAUGAGUACUUGGUGGUGGGGGAUUCGACCCCUUCACUGCCGGAGCUAACGCGUUAAGUACUCCACCUGGGGACUACGACCGCAAGGUUG